GAGCAGUGUCCUCACGCAUUGGACUGGCCUCCAAUGGGUGUAGUUACAGGGCCCCAACCACCUUUCACCAGAUUGUAUACUCACCUGUAUCUGACCUUAUUGCUACUCACACUCUAGGUCCCAGGAUAAAAUCCCAACAUGAUGGAGGAGUGCCCCCUCAUUAUGUGAAGCACCUGCUGGGCUUGGAACCAAAUUCAGUGAUGAAAUCCCAAGAUGAUGGAGGAGUGAACCCUGACGACAGGAAGUACCUGCUCACCUAUGAACAAAAUUUGAGGAAUAUGGAUGUAUCCUGUGGAUCCCUCAGAGAAGACAGGCAAGAGUCCACCACCAAGGCACCUCUAUGGAGGUCUCCUUCUUGGCCACGCAGCCAGGACUGAUCUCUAUGUAAUGGUGACAUUCAUUGUGAUGCUAGCCAGAGCUCAUAGUCAGGCCUGGUGCCCUGAGGCGUGCAUGUGCAUUUGAGGGCAUGCUUGCUGGCCUGGCUUUCACAGAUGUUAGCCUGUGGAAGCAGAAGAAAAUGGUACACAUAGAGCUGGCUCGGUAUCCAGAAAUAGGCUGCCUGCAAUAAUGCACUGCGGGACCCUACAAUGCUCGAAGUUAGGGCGACUUCAAGCCGUCUCCCUGGUCAGCUCCUGCAGGAGUAGGAGGCAUUCAGAGACUGAGGUGGUCGCUGAAAUCUGUUCUUCUGAUUCCCUUUUGGAAAGAGGCUGUGUGCAAGAAUCCAGUCCCAUGGGGAUUGGAAUGUAGUCUGGAUCGUGGGACUAUCCUGUGGAUCCCACAGAGAAGAGAGAGGACAGUCCACCACUGAUGCACCUCCACAGAGGUCUCCUUCUCCGCCAAACCUCACGGAAUUGUGACAUUCAUGGCGAAUGUGCGGGACCCCAUCCAUCCCUCACCAGCUUGUAUCCUCAGCUUUAUCUGAAGUUAAAAGUAUCUUUCCCAUAAUGAAAUCCAAAGAUGAUGGAAGAGUGCCCCCUCACGGUGUGGAGGUCCUGCUUGGCUAGCAACUGAAUAUGAAGUAAAUUCAAGGGACCCUGUGGACCGGACUGCUAGUGUUUCUAAAUGGGGUGUACACUGGACAAUAAAACACUGAAAGAUUUCUGUUCCUGAA
Homo sapiens (human) is the source of this 1111-nucleotide long non-coding RNA. Ensembl annotates it as testis expressed transcript, Y-linked 7B. Its record names the gene TTTY7B. NCBI's taxonomy places the organism in Eukaryota, Metazoa, Chordata, Mammalia, Primates, Hominidae. The record is from Ensembl.